GAUGAAGAACGUAGCGAAAUGCGAUAAGUAGUGUGAAUUGCAGAUUUCAGUGAAUCAUCGAAUCUUUGAACGCACAUUGCGCCCCUUGGUAUCCCGAGGGGCAUGCCUGUUCGAGCGUCAUUUCACCACUCAAGCCUGGCUUGGUGUUGGGCGACGUCCCCUUUGGGGACGCGCCUCGAAACGCUCGGCGGCGUGGCACCGGCUUUAAGCGUAGCAGAAUCUUUCGCUUUGGAAGUCGGGGCCCCGUCUGCCGGAAGACCUACUCGCAAGGUUGACCUCGGAUCAGGCAGGGAUACCCGCUGAACUUAAGCAUAUCAAUAAGCGGAGGA
Molecule: unclassified non-coding RNA, 329 nt
Filed under: soil metagenome
Description: partial contains 5.8S ribosomal RNA, internal transcribed spacer 2, and large subunit ribosomal RNA
Rfam family: 5.8S ribosomal RNA (bases 1-120)
Source: RNAcentral